ACGGAGGGUGCAAGCGUUAAUCGGAAUUACUGGGCGUAAAGCGCACGCAGGCGGUUUGUUAAGUCAGAUGUGAAAUCCCCGGGCUCAACCUGGGAACUGCAUCUGAUACUGGCAAGCUUGAGUCUCGUAGAGGGGGGUAGAAUUCCAGGUGUGGCGGCGAAAUGCGGAGAGAUCUGGAUGAAUAGCGAUGGCGUAGGCGGCCCACAGUACGAAGUCUGACUGUCAGGUUCGAAAGCGUGUGGAGCAAUAAG
RNAcentral lists this ribosomal RNA (251 nucleotides) under uncultured prokaryote. RNAcentral's name for it is "partial 16S rRNA". It matches the Rfam family "Bacterial small subunit ribosomal RNA", at positions 525 to 775 of the family's 1533-position model. The record is from RNAcentral.